Molecule: ribosomal RNA, 301 nt
Filed under: uncultured bacterium
Lineage: Bacteria
Description: partial 16S ribosomal RNA
Rfam family: Bacterial small subunit ribosomal RNA
Source: RNAcentral
CAGUCGCCACGGUAAUACGUAGGUGGCAAGCGUUGUCCGGAAUUAUUGGGCGUAAAGGGCUCGCAGGCGGUUUCUUAAGUCUGAUGUGAAAGCCCCCGGCUCAACCGGGGAGGGUCAUUGGAAGCUGGGAAACUUGAGUGCAGAAGAGGAGAGUGGAAUUCCACGUGUAGCGGUGAAAUGCGUAGAGAUGUGGAGGAACACCAGUGGCGAAGGCGACUCUCUGGUCUGUAACUGACGCUGAGGAGCGAAAGCGUGGGGAGCGAACAGGAUUAGAUACCCGUGUAGUCCCUGUCUCUUUACC